This 505-nucleotide ribosomal RNA is filed under the name uncultured bacterium. Its description in RNAcentral is "partial 16S ribosomal RNA". It matches the Rfam family "Bacterial small subunit ribosomal RNA", at positions 28 to 507 of the family's 1533-position model. The record is from RNAcentral.
GACGAACGCUGGCGGCGUGCCUAAUACAUGCAAGUAGAACGCACAGUUUAUACCGUAGCUUGCUACACCAUAGACUGUGAGUUGCGAACGGGUGAGUAACGCGUAGGUAACCUGCCUGGUAGCGGGGGAUAACUAUUGGAAACGAUAGCUAAUACCGCAUAAUAUUAAUUAUUGCAUGAUAAUUAAUUGAAAGGUGCAAUUGCACCACUACCAGAUGGACCUGCGUUGUAUUAGCUAGUAGGUGAGGUAACGGCCCACCUAGGCGACGAUACAUAGCCGACCUGAGAGGGUGAUCGGCCACACUGGGACUGAGACACGGCCCAGACUCCUACGGGAGGCAGCAGUAGGGAAUCUUCGGCAAUGGACGAAAGUCUGACCGAGCAACGCCGCGUGAGUGAAGAAGGUUUUCGGAUCGUAAAGCUCUGUUGUAAGAGAAGAACGGGUGUGAGAGUGGAAAGUUCACACUGUGACGGUAUCUUACCAGAAAGGGACGGCUAACUACGUG